UUACGGUUAUAUCACGUUGAAACACCGGUUCCCGUACGAUCACCGAGGUUAAGCAACGUUGAUCCUGGUCAGUACUUAGAUGGGUGGUCGCUUGGGAAUA
RNAcentral lists this ribosomal RNA (100 nucleotides) under Acanthosepion pharaonis. The record is from RNAcentral. Lineage: Eukaryota; Metazoa; Mollusca; Cephalopoda; Sepiida; Sepiidae.